Molecule: non-coding RNA, 313 nt
Organism: Salmo salar (Atlantic salmon)
Lineage: Eukaryota; Metazoa; Chordata; Actinopteri; Salmoniformes; Salmonidae
Source: RefSeq, a predicted model, not a curated record
CAGUCUGGGUGCUGGUUCCCUUUUCCUGGUUCUGCUAGCUGGGUCUGUGCUGUGUGUUCUCCAAAGCAAUUGUGGGGUUCAAUGCAGGCCUGUAAAUACUGGAAGCCCACCUGAGCAGCAAGACCAAACCCCACCUUGUGUCUAUUCUGUCAUCACAAAGCAGUCUAGGGAUGAGGAAGAGGACAGUAGUCUGCAAUAUGCUACUGUGACAUCUACCAGUGACCAAGCUAGUCUUCAAUAUGCAACAGUGACAUCUACCGGUAACCAAGUUGGACCUGGGAGCACCAAGAUCAAGUUUGAAAUAGCUGGAGAG